GUCAAGAUGGUGGAGUGGUUAACACGUUCGCCGGCUAGACUCUUGAGGAGUUAGUCAGUGGAUGCUUUCGGGCGCGCAGGUUCGAAUCCUGUUCUUGACG
Choiromyces venosus 120613-1 is the source of this 100-nucleotide non-coding RNA. Lineage: Eukaryota; Fungi; Ascomycota; Pezizomycetes; Pezizales; Tuberaceae. The record is from the annotation of a GenBank genome assembly.